AUUUGUUCAAGUGGACCAAGGAGUGACACUUCCCUUACCUGAGGGUCUUGUAUACAGAACACCUUAACUCUAGGGAUUCAUUUAUAGGCUGCUUCCCUCUACCCUACAUAUUUCUCUGCCUUCUGCAGUCAAGGCAGCGGUGUUCUAAUACAUGUCUCAGAGAAUUCAAGCUGGAGCUCUGGUUUUGUGAAUUGCACACACCAAAACUGAAGAGGAAUAGCCUUGAUGUUGUUGCUGGCCCAUGGGAUGCAGGUGGGGAUUCCUGUGGCUGCUUUAACAGAUGGCUGAGAACAACUUGCAGUUUAAUUCCCCUCAAGGGCUCCAGGUCCCACCUCCUGGGGACGAUAGGAGCAGCUGACUCAUGGUUCUGCAGCCCAGAUUUCCUCUCCAUGGUGGACUGCACCCUCAAACUGAAAUACAUGUGCUCAAGUGAAGACGCAGCCAAGCUUUACCUCCAGAUACUGCUUCUGUCUUCGGUUUUGAAAUGGAAACACUCCCUGCAUAAGUGAUCUCUCUCUCAUCUGUAAUUCAGAAUUUCUAUCCCUGGAGAGGUGUUUCAAAUUUCUGCUUAGCAUCCUGAAGACUCAUAUGAGGGAAGCAGAACAGUCUAGAAUGCAGCUGAGUGUCCCCCUGGAUCAGGGCUCUGCCUGUUUGCAGUUGUAUCACACACCCACACACUUGUUCAUCAAGUGUGGAGCAGAAUCACUGGCAACCAUAUGAAUUGGCCAUUUUCUGCUGCCAUUCGACUAUGAUCUGCCCCAGCACUGCAGAUUAGAUCACUAAUAGAUCUUACCUGAGAUGGAUGCCCAACACUCCAAGUAUAACUCGAUAAAACCAGACUGCCUUAAAGGGGUUUGAUGAGCAGAAGGAGGACUUCAUAUACAUAACUGUGUGAGUUUAGUAAUGGAUUCUUCAGAAAGACUCUGUGGAAUCCAAGAUGAUGUUAUUACAGCCUGGAAAUGUGCAGAUGGUGGCCUUAUGUGCUCUCAUCCCACCAUGCUAAUGAUAUCUACUAAUUCUAUUGAUAAUUGGAUUUAACCUCUCCACAAUGUUUAUGGGCUUGGAAACAUUAUGUUGUAUAAAAUUAAUGUAGACAAAUGUACCUGUCAAUUUUUUAAGUAUUUUUUUUAAAUAUACUGUACUUAUUCACG
Molecule: long non-coding RNA, 1151 nt
Filed under: Mus musculus (house mouse)
Lineage: Eukaryota; Metazoa; Chordata; Mammalia; Rodentia; Muridae
Description: predicted gene, 49171
Source: RNAcentral